This 137-nucleotide ribosomal RNA is filed under the name uncultured bacterium. RNAcentral's name for it is "partial 16S ribosomal RNA". It matches the Rfam family "Bacterial small subunit ribosomal RNA", at positions 355 to 509 of the family's 1533-position model. The record is from RNAcentral.
UGGGGGAUAUUGCACAAUGGGGGAAACCCUGAUGCAGCGACGCCGCGUGGGUGAAGAAGCGCCUCGGCNCGUAAAGCCCUGUCAGCAGGGAAGAAAAUGACGGUACCUGAAGAAGAAGCCCCGGCUAACUACGUGCC